Molecule: ribosomal RNA, 253 nt
Filed under: uncultured bacterium
Lineage: Bacteria
Description: partial 16S ribosomal RNA
Rfam family: Bacterial small subunit ribosomal RNA
Source: RNAcentral
UACGUAGGGUGCAAGCGUUGUUCGGAAUUACUGGGCGUAAAGGGUUCGUAGGUGGCCAACUCAGUCAGACGUGAAAUCCCUCAGCUCAACUGGGGAACUGCGUCUGAUACUAGAUGGCUUGAGUGCAGGAGAGGAACGCGGAAUUCCAGGUGUAGCGGUGAAAUGCGUAGAUAUCUGGAGGAACACCGGUGGCGAAGGCGGCGUUCUGGACUGCAACUGACACUGAGGAACGAAAGCCAGGGGAGCAAACGGG